RNAcentral lists this ribosomal RNA (424 nucleotides) under uncultured bacterium. Its description in RNAcentral is "bacterial SSU rRNA". It matches the Rfam family "Bacterial small subunit ribosomal RNA", at positions 355 to 796 of the family's 1533-position model. The record is from RNAcentral.
UAACGAAUCUUCCGCAAUGCACGCAAGUGUGACGGAGCGACGCCGCGUGUGGGACGAAGCCCUUCGGGGUGUAAACCACUGUCAGGGGUUAGAAAGUUCUGAUCGACCCCAGAGGAAGGCACGGCUAACUCUGUGCCAGCAGCCGCGGUAAGACAGAGGUGCCGAGCGUUAGGCGGAAUCACUGGGCUUAAAGCGUGUGUAGGCGGAUCGUUAAGUGUCUUGUGAAAUCCCAUGGCUUAACCAUGGAACUGCUGGACAUACUGGCGAUCUUGGGUCACCUAGGGGCAGCCGGAACAAAUGGUGGAGCGGUAAAAUGCGUUGAUAUCAUUUGGAACGCCAAUGGCGAAAGCAAGCUGCUGGGGGUGCACCGACGCUGAGACACGAAAGCCAGGGGAGCAAACGGGAUUAGAUACCCCCGUAGUCC